This 324-nucleotide ribosomal RNA is filed under the name uncultured eukaryote. RNAcentral describes it as "partial 18S ribosomal RNA". It matches the Rfam family "Eukaryotic small subunit ribosomal RNA", at positions 1470 to 1796 of the family's 1831-position model. The record is from RNAcentral.
CCCUUAGAUGCUCUGGGCCGCACGCGCGCUACACUGGUCGAUGCAACGAGUUUCUUUCCUUGGCCGACAGGCCUGGGCAAUCUUUGAACAUCGAUCGUGAUCGGGAUAGAUUCUUGUAAUUUUUGAUCUUAAACGAGGAAUUCCUAGUAAACGCAAGUCAUCAGCUUGCAUUGAUUACGUCCCUGCCCUUUGUACACACCGCCCGGCGCACCUACCGAUUGAAUGGUCCGGUGAAAUCUCCGGACUGGCGUGAGUCGGAGCAAUCUGACAAACGCCGGAAAGUUGAUUAAACCUUACCAUUUAGAGGAAGGUGAANUCGUAACA